Molecule: long non-coding RNA, 498 nt
Organism: Peromyscus eremicus (cactus mouse)
Lineage: Eukaryota; Metazoa; Chordata; Mammalia; Rodentia; Cricetidae
Exons: 2
Source: RefSeq, a predicted model, not a curated record
GCCCCGGAGCAAGGUGUCUGUCUUCUGCAGGACUGACUCCUAGUGGACCCCUGGACCUGGACCUAGUGGACUAGACCCAGCAAGGAAAAGGACAUCAGUUGAAGCAGGAGGCCACCAGAACAGAGAAUGCAGCCACAAGAAGAGAGUCUGUCAGUCCUCAAGAUGAGGGGAGUGCCUACUGUAGGGGCCCCCAGGAAGGUCAGAGCACAGAGAGAGAGGGGAAGCCAGGGCUGACCAUUGUGUAUCGGGAAGGUCGGAAGCCACAAUUCAUACAGAGAAGGCAGAAGAAAGGAGACUCUGGGGUCCCUGGAGGCAGCACCUCCCUUCCAGGGUGUUAGGAUUCUAGCUCAGGCUCCAACCCAGGUUUCAUCCCAUCUGCAGGUGAACAAAUACUAUCUAAAUGCCAUAAAUUAUAGUUUUUUUUAAAGUCUCUGUGUAGAGAAAACCGAAAUGAACAAAUGAAGACAGAGGUGAAAUUAAAAGAUAAUUGGAAGUCUA